Molecule: ribosomal RNA, 252 nt
Filed under: uncultured Fusobacteriaceae bacterium
Lineage: Bacteria; Fusobacteriati; Fusobacteriota; Fusobacteriia; Fusobacteriales; Fusobacteriaceae
Description: partial 16S ribosomal RNA
Rfam family: Bacterial small subunit ribosomal RNA
Source: RNAcentral
UACAUAUGUCGCAAGCGUUAUCCGGAUUUAUUGGGCGUAAAGCGCGUCUAGGCGGUUUACUAAGUCUGAUGUGAAAAUGCAGGGCUCAACUCUGUAUUGCGUUGGAAACUGGUAGACUAGAGUAUUGGAGAGGUGGGCGGAACUACAAGUGUAGAGGUGGAAUUCGUAGAUAUUUGUAGGAAUGCCGAUGGAGAAGUCAGCUCACUGGACAUAUACUGACGCUAAAGCGCGAAAGCGUGGGGAGCAAACAGG